RNAcentral lists this ribosomal RNA (1921 nucleotides) under uncultured eukaryote. Its description in RNAcentral is "bacterial SSU rRNA". It matches the Rfam family "Eukaryotic small subunit ribosomal RNA". The record is from RNAcentral.
AACCUGGUUGAUCCUGCCAGUAGUCAUAUGCUUGUCUCAAAGAUUAAGCCAUGCACGUGUAAGAUCAUUUUGUGGUGCAAAUCAUACCAAUAAUCUGCGGAUGGCUCAGUAUAACAGUUAUAAACCUAGCUAUCAACUUUUCAGAACGGAUAACACCGUCAAAUGCGGUGAUAAUACGUGUCCAGAACGAGUCUAACGACUCAGACGAUCGAGGGCCUGGAAACGCCCUGGAUCAGCAGUCUGACAGCUCUAAGCUGUCAGACGUGGACUACCAUCUGGUAGCUUGGAAGAGGUAUUUCUAACUUAUCAGGUACGUUGUUUCAGUAAGGGUGAAACAAGCCAAUUACGAGUACGGCGAAUCAGUGUUCGAUUCCGGGGAGGGAGCCUGAGGAAAUGGCUACUACAUCUAAGGAUGGCAGCAGGCGCGGAAAAUUACCCAAUACAAAUUGUGUGAGGUAGUGACAAGACAUAACGACCUUACGUUUUCGCAAUGGAAGGGUACCGUGUUAAAAGCGGUUUGGAGUGAUUCUAGUUCAAAACUCUAUUAGAGUAACAAUUGGAGGACAAGUCUGGUGCCAGCACCCGCGGUAAUUCCAGCUCCAAAAGCAUAUACUAAAAUUGCUGUAGUCAAAACGCUCGUAGUUGAUAUAAGGAUGGUGUCUGAACAACCUGUCUGACCUUUUCUGUAUGCCAGGUUUGGUAACAGACCAAAGCGUGCUUAAAAAUGAACCUGUCAAGGACAGGAACAGGGGGUUAGUCCUCUGGCGUAUCCAACCAGUGCUUUGAUGUCAGUCUUCUUCCAUCAAGCAUUGGGCGUAGGUAAGACGGAUGCAUUUCCGAUGUAAACCGUGAACAAAUUAGUGUGCUCCAAACAAGCAGCGUGAAUGUGUGCUUCGGUACAUAUUUGAGCUUGAAUAAUUUAGCAUGGUACUAUGUUUCCCUUUCUCGGAAGGGAAUCAGAUAACAGAAGGGAUGGAGGACUCUGGUAUUGCGCGUCUAGAGGUGAAAUUCCGAUAUUUUCGCAAGACGAACGGAGGCGCAAGCGGUCGUGUCCAUUGUAUCUUCAUUGAUCAGGAACGAGAGUCAGGGGAUCGAAGAUGAUUAGAUACCGUCGUAGUCCUGACUGUAAACGAUGCCAACUCAACUUCAAGUGUGAUACGAUAUUAGGGAUCUUCUUGGAAUUGACGGGAAACCAUUAAGUUAUUGGGUUCUGGGGGGAGUAUGGUCGCAAGGCUGAAACUUAAAGGAAUUGACGGAAAGACACCACCAGGAGUGGAGUUUGCGGCUUAAUUCGACUCAACGCGGGAAAACUCACAGGACAGGACAGUGUCGAGAUUGACAGGUGAAAGAGUCCUUUCUUGAUUUACUGGUUGGUGGUGCAUGGUCGUUCUUAGUUCGUGGAGUGAUCUGUCUACUUAAUUGUGCCAACGAACGAGACCUUGACCUAUUAGUUAGGCACCUGUUGACGAUUUCGGUCGUCAUGGGUUUUGGUUAUACUGAAAUCAGGUUAUUCCUUCGGGAUACUUCUUAAAGGGACAAGACGACGUUUAAUAACGCAGCGUAAGGAAGAGCAAGGCAAUAACAGGUCUGUGAUGCCCUUAGAUGCCCUGGGCGGCACGCGUACUACAAUGUUAUUAACAACGAGCAAAAACAGUUUCUGAUUCCGCACCUUAAAGGUGUAGGUAAUCUUGUCAAUUGAUUACAAGACAGGGAUAGAUGUUUGUAAAUACAUCUUGAACGAGGAAUUCCUAGUAAGCACAAGUCAUGAUCUUGCAUUGAUUACGUCCCUGUCUUUUGUACACACCGCCCGUCGCUCCUACCGAUGGAAUGUUGAAAUGAACCUAAUGGAUAGGUUGAUAUUAGUUAAAUUUUGUCAUUUGUAGGAAGGAGAAGUCGUAACAAGGUCUUCGUAGGUGAAUCA